RNAcentral lists this non-coding RNA (96 nucleotides) under Asterionellopsis glacialis. The record is from RNAcentral. Lineage: Eukaryota; Bacillariophyta; Plagiogrammaphyceae; Rhaphoneidales; Asterionellopsidaceae.
CUUUUUGAUUAUUAAACUUUUUUUAUUUUUUUUCUUUUGACGUUCGAACCUCUGCACAUCACUGGUUGCUUUAACAAAAUCCAAUCCCAAGGGCGG